RNAcentral lists this ribosomal RNA (336 nucleotides) under uncultured bacterium. Its description in RNAcentral is "bacterial SSU rRNA". It matches the Rfam family "Bacterial small subunit ribosomal RNA", at positions 30 to 366 of the family's 1533-position model. The record is from RNAcentral.
AUUGAACGCUGGCGGCAUGCUUUACACAUGCAAGUCGAACGGCAGCGCGGGGCAACCUGGCGGCGAGUGGCGAACGGGUGAGUAAUAUAUCGGAACGUACCCAGAAGUGGGGGAUAACGUAGCGAAAGUUACGCUAAUACCGCAUACGAUCUACGGAUGAAAGUGGGGGACCUUCGGGCCUCAUGCUUUUGGAGCGGCCGAUAUCUGAUUAGCUAGUUGGUGAGGUAAAGGCUCACCAAGCGACGAUCAGUAGCUGGUCUGAGAGGACGACCAGCCACACUGGGACUGAGACACGGCCCAGGGACUCCUACGGGAGGCGAGCAGUGGGGAAGUUUU